This 467-nucleotide ribosomal RNA is filed under the name uncultured bacterium. RNAcentral's name for it is "partial 16S ribosomal RNA". It matches the Rfam family "Bacterial small subunit ribosomal RNA", at positions 29 to 507 of the family's 1533-position model. The record is from RNAcentral.
ACGAACGCUGGCGGCGUGCUUAACACAUGCAAGUCGCACGGAAAGGCCCUGCUUUUGUGGGGUGCUCGAGUGGCGAACGGGUGAGUAACACGUGAGUAACCUGCCCUUGACUUUAGGAUAACUUCAGGAAACUGGGGCUAAUACCGGAUAGGAGCUCCUGCUGCAUGGUGGGGGUUGGAAAGUUUCGGCGGUUGGGGAUGAACUCGCGGCUUAUCAGCUUGUUGGUGGGGUAGUGGCUUACCAAGGCUUUGACGGGUAGCCGGCCUGAGAGGGUGACCGGCCACAUUGGGACUGAGAUACGGCCCAGACUCCUACGGGAGGCAGCAGUGGGGAAUAUUGCACAAUGGGCGGAAGCCUGAUGCAGCAACGCCGCGUGCGGGAUGACGGCCUUCGGGUUGUAAACCGCUUUCGCCUGUGACGAAGCGUGAGUGACGGUAAUGGGUAAAGAAGCACCGGCUAACUACGUG